ACUUUAAGUGAAAACUAAAGAUCGCGUAAAAUCUCCGUUCUAACUUGUUUUCUUCCGAAACUUGACGAGUGCUUUUGUAAUUAAAUUACACACGAAAACAUCGUCAACAAAGUAUUUAGCUACUCUGCCAAAUCUCAGUCCUUACAUCUAUACUCCCACUAUUCUCUUGUACAUUUUUGACUCGUCCAUACUUUCGAUGCACCAAACAGUUU
RNAcentral lists this long non-coding RNA (212 nucleotides) under Ananas comosus (pineapple). RNAcentral describes it as "long non-coding RNA (ACOM_LNC000531)". Lineage: Eukaryota; Viridiplantae; Streptophyta; Magnoliopsida; Poales; Bromeliaceae. The record is from RNAcentral.